Molecule: unclassified non-coding RNA, 606 nt
Filed under: Hevea brasiliensis (rubber tree)
Lineage: Eukaryota; Viridiplantae; Streptophyta; Magnoliopsida; Malpighiales; Euphorbiaceae
Source: RNAcentral
AAGAAAAGAAAAGAAAAAAAAAAUCAAAAAGCCUUCUUCUUCUUAUCCCUUGCCGCCUCCCAUCUCUCUUUCCCUCACCAUUACUAACUCCAUUAAAGCUUGCACUCAAGUUUUGAAACCCUCACUAAAUCUCAACUUCUUCCAUACUUGCUUCACAAAAACUUGAUUUAGUCACUUGAGAGGAAGAUUUGUCAUCAAAGAAUUGAAGAAAAUUUAGAGGAAGUGAAGAUCAAAGACUUCACCUAAGGUUAGUAAUGCAAACUUCAAAUUUUUAGUUUAAUUAGUGUAUGUAUAGCAUCAAGAACAUAGAAAUAAACUUAAAAUGAAAAGAAAAAUUUGUUGAGGGACUAAACUGAAAUUUCAGCCAGCAUGAGGGGGAGGGUGAUUUGCAUGGUUUGAUUUUGUUGAAUGGGUAUAUGAACCUUGAAUUAGUGAUUGGUUAUGAUUAAAGAGUUUGAAAAUAGCUAAAUGCAAGAAAUUGACAACUUAGGGUUUUGGACAUCAGGGUUUAGAGACUAAAAAUGUGAGGAAGUGGUAAAUAGUAUCUUUGACCUAAUGUAAAGUAAAAAAUGGUCAUUUGUAACCUAAUUAAGUGUGUUAGAAGUG